GCUCCAAUCAGAUCAUAUUUAGUACCAACAUGUUCUCUGUAGCUCUGCUGCUGCUGCUGGCUGCUCGAUCCUGUGUGAAGUGUGCACAGCUGACACAGCCAGCCUCUGUGAUUGUGCAGCCAGGUCAGCGUCUGACCAUCACCUGUCAGGUCUCUUAUUCUCUGAGUGGCGACUGGACAGCUUGGAUCAGACAGCCUGCAGGGAAAGGACUGGAGUGGAUUGGAAUGAAAUACACUGGGGACUCUCGCUAUAAAGAUUCACUAAAGAGCAAGUUCAGCAUUCAGUUAGAUACUUCAAGCAAGACAGUUACUCUAAAUGGACAGAAUAUGCAACCUGAAGACACUGCUGUGUAUUACUGUGCCAGAGGACCACAGUAACACAAAACAUCACCAAACCU
This is a non-coding RNA of Pundamilia nyererei, 397 nucleotides long. Lineage: Eukaryota; Metazoa; Chordata; Actinopteri; Cichliformes; Cichlidae. The record is from the annotation of a RefSeq genome assembly.